This 491-nucleotide ribosomal RNA is filed under the name uncultured bacterium. RNAcentral's name for it is "partial 16S ribosomal RNA". It matches the Rfam family "Bacterial small subunit ribosomal RNA", at positions 28 to 507 of the family's 1533-position model. The record is from RNAcentral.
GAUGAACGCUAGCUACAGGCUUAACACAUGCAAGUCGAGGGGAAACGAUGAGAGAGCUUGCUCUCUUAGUCGUCGACCGGCGCACGGGUGAGUAACGCGUAUCCAACCUGCCUCUGACCAAGGGAUAACCCGUCGAAAGUCGGACUAAUACCUUAUGCAGUCGUCGGAAGUCAUCUGAUGACGACGAAAGAUUUCAUCGGUGAGAGAUGGGGAUGCGUCUGAUUAGCUUGUUGGCGGGGUAACGGCCCACCAAGGCGACGAUCAGUAGGGGUUCUGAGAGGAAGGUCCCCCACAUUGGAACUGAGACACGGUCCAAACGCCUACGGGAGGCAGCAGUGAGGAAGAUUGGUCAAUGGGCGUAAGCCUGAACCAGCCAAGUAGCGUGCAGGAUGACGGCCCUAUGGGUUGUAAACUGCUUUUAUGCGGGGAUAAAGUGAGGGACGUGUCCUUCAUUGCAGGUACCGCAUGAAUAAGGACCGGCUAAUUCCGUG